RNAcentral lists this ribosomal RNA (253 nucleotides) under uncultured bacterium. RNAcentral describes it as "partial 16S ribosomal RNA". It matches the Rfam family "Bacterial small subunit ribosomal RNA", at positions 78 to 334 of the family's 1533-position model. The record is from RNAcentral.
UCUUUCUUUGCUGGCGACCGGCGCACGGGUGAGUAACACGUAUCCAACCUGCCUUUACUCGGGGAUAGCCUUUCGAAAGAAAGAUUAAUACCCGAUAGCAUAAUGAUUCCGCAUGGUUUCAUUAUUAAAGGAUUCCGGUAAAGAUGGGGAUGCGUUCCAUUAGGUUGUUGGUGAGGUAACGGCCCACCAAGCCUUCGAUGGAUAGGGGUUCUGAGAGGAAGGUCCCCCACAUUGGGACUGAGACACGGUCCAA